GAAGGGUGCAAGCGUUACUCGGAAUUACUGGGCGUAAAGCGUGCGUAGGUGGUGGUUUAAGUCUGCUGUGAAAGCCCUGGGCUCAACCUGGGAAUUGCAGUGGAUACUGGGUCACUAGAGUGUGGUAGAGGGAUGCGGAAUUUCCGGUGUAGCAGUGAAAUGCGUAGAGAUCGGAAGGAACGUCCGUGGCGAAGGCGGCAUCCUGGGCCAACACUGACACUGAGGCACGAAAGCGUGGGGGAGCAAACAGGAUUAGAUACCCUGGUAGUCCACGCCCUAAACGAUGCGAACUGGAUGUUGGGUGCAACUUGGCACCCAGUAUCGAAGCUAACGCGUUAAGUUCGCCGCCUGGGAGUACGGUCGCAAGACUG
This 371-nucleotide ribosomal RNA is filed under the name uncultured organism. RNAcentral describes it as "partial 16S ribosomal RNA". It matches the Rfam family "Bacterial small subunit ribosomal RNA", at positions 527 to 896 of the family's 1533-position model. The record is from RNAcentral.